Molecule: long non-coding RNA, 906 nt
Organism: Amyelois transitella
Lineage: Eukaryota; Metazoa; Arthropoda; Insecta; Lepidoptera; Pyralidae
Exons: 2
Source: RefSeq, a predicted model, not a curated record
AAUAACAGGUAAGGUAAAAGCUCCUAAUACGGCGGUAGUCAAAAUCGCUUCCAAUUACGGUGGUAUUUAUAUUUCUUAGUUUUAUUCCUGUUCUAUUCAGUGUAAGUACAUCAUAACGCAAAUGUGUUAUUCUAAAUUUAUUACGGCACGACUUAACCGACAUUUGCAACUACAACACAUUGGCAACACAACAAAAUCAAUCAGUUUAUGUCACGGCAUCGACGGGACAGGUGUUUUCAUACAAACGCGGAACAACAAAACUCAAUUCAGGCAGCAGUGGCAGCGGGCAGCAUUGACGCAAGUUUUAAAAGAGUUUUAAACUUUAUUUUCAUUAUUUUAUAGACCAGUAAUCGCUCGAAAAAAUAAAACUGUUGGUGACUGAUGCGGCGUCGGUUGCUGACGACAGCCAGCAGUUUUGAAGCGAAGCUAGUCUAGUAGCGAACGUUUAAAAUUCUUCCGAAGCUGUAAAUGCUCUUCGGGCUGCUGUCGACCACUGUAACUGCAGCCUGAAUUGACCCUAAACUUUACUUAGGUAUCUUAUAUUAAGUUCACUUACCAUUACUAAAGUGAUUAUUUUUUAAUAUGUAAAACUUUUAGUUACAGUUUACUAUCCUCUGCGGAGUGUUAGUUUUUGAAAGACUGAUGUUAUAAAUAUUUCAUUAUUGUUACUUUUUGUUCCUCUACGAAGUGUUGAUUUUUGAAAGAUUUUAGAUGAUUGUUAUUGUUCGUCAUUAUUUCUUAGCCAAAGUAACUAAUUGUAAUAAAAAAUAAAACUUAAUUCCUAAAUGAACCUGCAUUUUUUUAUAUUGUUAAAUCCGUGAAAGCUGUACACACGCGUGUAGAAAACACUAAAUAAUAAUAUAUACAUAUAUAUACUUUAAAUAAAUAAUAUACUUUAAAUUCAAA